Calidris pygmaea (Spoon-billed sandpiper) is the source of this 189-nucleotide small nuclear RNA. Its record names the gene U2. It matches the Rfam family "U2 spliceosomal RNA". From Rfam's summary of the family: U2 is a small nuclear RNA (snRNA) component of the spliceosome (involved in pre-mRNA splicing). Complementary binding between U2 snRNA (in an area lying towards the 5' end but 3' to hairpin I) and the branchpoint sequence (BPS) of the intron results the bulging out of an unpaired adenosine, on the BPS, which initiates a nucleophilic attack at the intronic 5' splice site, thus starting the first of two transesterification reactions that mediate splicing. NCBI's taxonomy places the organism in Eukaryota, Metazoa, Chordata, Aves, Charadriiformes, Scolopacidae. The record is from Ensembl.
UACACUUCCCAGCCGCUGGCUAAGAUCAAGUGCAUCAGCUUUUCUUAUCACUUUAAUAUCUGAUACAUCCCCAGCUUGAAGAUUUUAUAUUAAAUGGAUUUGGAGGGCACAGGAAGGAGCAACUGCUUCCUCCAUCCACUCCAUGAAUCAACCCGAAACUGCAGUGCUUCCAGGUACCAUGGCCACAUU